RNAcentral lists this ribosomal RNA (379 nucleotides) under Quercus ithaburensis subsp. macrolepis. Lineage: Eukaryota; Viridiplantae; Streptophyta; Magnoliopsida; Fagales; Fagaceae. The record is from RNAcentral.
CUCCUGGGAAGUCCUCGUGUUGCACCCCUCUCUUUUUCUUCGCGUUUUUUUCGUUGGGGUUGUCGUUUGCGGCGGUCCAGCACGCUCGCUCUGCAUGCACCCCUUUGAUCUUCCCUGCAUUUAUUUUUUUUCUCGCUGGGCUUAUCGUGUACGUCGGUCCAGCACGCUCGCUUUGGAGGCUUAGCCCGCCCCAGGCCAAAAGCACGAGCCGCAGAUCUCGUUUCGGGUGCUAAAGCGUCGCGGGGACGUCGAAAUGCGCGGAAGCCCCUCGGGCUGCACCUCUCCGGCGGUAAGGUGCAUCGUUGCGUUCGGAUCCUUUUAUAAGAAUUAAACGCGCUUAUGCUGAUGGGUGCGAUCAUACCAACACUAAUGCACCGGA